Non-coding RNA from Acanthosepion pharaonis, 109 nucleotides. NCBI's taxonomy places the organism in Eukaryota, Metazoa, Mollusca, Cephalopoda, Sepiida, Sepiidae. The record is from the annotation of a GenBank genome assembly.
GUCACCGCACUUUGAAACGCCGUUCCCCGUACGAUCACCGAAGUCAAGCAUCGUCGAACACGGUCAGUACCGAGAUGGAUGACCGCUUCGGAAUACCAGGUGCUGUAAG